Molecule: long non-coding RNA, 865 nt
Organism: Neofelis nebulosa (Clouded leopard)
Lineage: Eukaryota; Metazoa; Chordata; Mammalia; Carnivora; Felidae
Exons: 4
Source: RefSeq, a predicted model, not a curated record
ACGGUGGUGGGAUGAGGCUAGACCCCCUUCUCCCUUUCUGGAACCUUGCCGAAUCCGUCAGGGCCGUGUCCCUGGUCGGCCAACCCACACCUGACGGCUAAGGGACACAGGAAAAGGCGGCAGAGUAGAGACCCUUGGAUUUGCUCCUUUGGAUUUUGGAUUUUGACCUGAGUUUCUUUGUCAGUCCUCAUGCCAGACCCAGUGGUCAAAGAAGUUGGAGACUCAAAGGCUGUUUCUUUUUCCUUCAUUUUUCAAACAAAGAAGCUUCAUGAGAACAUUAAGCCCCAAAGAGAAUUGUGUUCAUUGCAAGACUUGUCAAGGAUCGGUGGAGAGAUUUAUAUAAACAAAUCAUUCAGUUCUUCCUUUGGUGACCUUGGUCCUGAGAGUGAAUGCGAUGGUCCUACAGCUUUUUGGCCCUUCAUCAGUACAGAAGCUGCAGUCUGUGCUCAGCAAGACCUCACCAAAGGCAGGAAAAUUAAAGAGAGAAAUGGUCCAUGGCGUAUUCUUACCCACCAUAAAUUGGCGUCAUUUUGGCCACCAUCCAGGGGAGAGAAACCAGCCUCCUGAAACAGAGAAAAAAGAUCAGAAGCUGCUGUAAGGAAGGGAGAUGCAACUUUCCUGGGAAAGAAUUAUCCUUUGCUCCAUUGCUCAGUCAUUCAACAAACACCACCCAGGACAUACAUCGAGUGGAAUAAGGCCUAACACUGUCUUUCAAAGGCAGCUUUUAGGGUCAGCCUUCACAAACAGUGGCUCAACAUCUCUACAGUGUCAGCCCAGCCCCGGGCUUCUGCCUCGACCAACCCAUGAUGACCAGGCAUGUGACCUGUCCCCAGCCGGCCGGGACACGCUGCUCCUGCCAUUAUUA